This 442-nucleotide ribosomal RNA is filed under the name uncultured bacterium. RNAcentral's name for it is "partial 16S ribosomal RNA". It matches the Rfam family "Bacterial small subunit ribosomal RNA", at positions 338 to 795 of the family's 1533-position model. The record is from RNAcentral.
CCUACGGGAGGCAGCAGUAGGGAAUCUUUCACAAUGGGCGAAAGCCUGAUGGAGCACCGCCGCGUGCAGGAUGAAGGCCUUCGGGUUGUAAACUGCUUUUAUAAGCGGGAAAUAUGAUGGUAACUUAUGAAUAAGGAUCGGCUAACUACGUGCCAGCAGCCGCGGUCAUACGUAGGAUCCGAGCAUUAUCCGGAGUGACUGGGUGUAAAGAGUUGCGUAGGUGGCAUAAUAAGUAGCUAGUGAAAUCUGGUGGCUCAACCAUUCAGACUAUUAGCUAAACUGUUAAGCGCGAGACCGUUAGGGGUAACUGGAAGUUCUAGUGUAGGAGUGAAAUCCGUAGAUAUGAGAAGGAACACCAAUAGCGUAGGCAGGUUACUGGGACGGUUCUGACACUAAGGCACGAAAGCGUAGGGAGCAAACGGGAUUAGAUACCCCGGUAGUC